AGGAGCAGACAGAAAUGGGGCCACUGCAGAGGCUUUAUGCCAAAACCCGUUUGAAGGGCCACAUGUAUCACUAACUGCUUCUAAUCUAUCUCCUCUUUCUCUGCUUGUUAAUUCAGAAAUACCAAACUGAAAGCCCCUUUAUAACUUGAGGGCAGGUGGCUAGCUUAACUCUACCUCAUUACUUUUAAUGAGUAGGAUUUUUUCACUUCUCUGGACAGGUGGCUAGUACAGGGCUCUGCAGCCUUGCUUCAAGGCCAGGAAUGUGCUCUGGCCACAUGUCAAACCAGCAGCCCUUGUAUGCCAAAGGACUCUAAAGUCACUGUUGUGACAUUUCCAUGGGUGAAGAAAACAAAGUCACAGAUGAUGAGAAAGUGGGUUCCGUGUGACAGUAUUUAGCAUCGUAACAGGUAGUAAUUAAGUAAUUAGAUGCACGAUACAUCAAACAUGAGUUAUCGUAUUUGUGCUAUCUAGCAUGUUAAAGGGGAGUUGAGUAAAUAAAUGAAAUGCAGGGGGUGGUUGUGAGUGGUUAGUGGUAGAAAUUCUUCAGUUGGGUACAUUGUUCCAGUUAACUUGAAUGCUGUGUACACCCUGAAGAAGGGACUUUGAGAACCCAUAGGAUGUUCUCUUGCUUCUCCACACAGUAACAAGAUAUUGGGAUUUACCAGGUUUGCUGUUAGGUGGAAUUGCACUUAAGAGAGGACUUAUUUUUCUUACCGUGAAAGCUGACUUGUUCGAGUCUGGAGAAAGACCUGAAACAUGGCCCCAUCAUCUAGAUACAACAUCAAUUCUGGCUGCUGGUCUAGUGAGCAAUCCAUCGUGAGACUUGAUCCAGGGACUUAAUUAAGUGUGAAAUUGAAGGGAGAAUCGGCACAAGAAAUGGACGGGGUCCUCCGAGGCAGAAAUUUUAUAAGUCACUGGAAAGCAAAGUGCAGAUGGAUAUUCUCCAAGAUGCCAGGAAGUUAUUGACUGUUAUUGCUCAGCACCAUGAUGAUGAAAGAUAGUUAGGUACCUAGACAACGUUGUCAGGCACUAGAAAUUUUGCUAUGGGACUCGUGCAUAUAAG
Molecule: long non-coding RNA, 1063 nt
Filed under: Numida meleagris (helmeted guineafowl)
Lineage: Eukaryota; Metazoa; Chordata; Aves; Galliformes; Numididae
Description: lncRNA (ENSNMEG00000015407.1)
Source: RNAcentral